GGUGUGUUCAUAGUUGCUCAUUGAAGCAGUUUUAUGAUGGAGUUGAUCACACUUAACAAUAUGUGCAGGCAGGACCGAAAAAAGGUGUGGUGCCUUCCAGCCCAUAAAUCAAAGUUUUCUCUUGCCACUGCCAUGUAAGAAGUGCCUUUUGCUCCUGCCAUGAUUCUGAGGCCUCCCCAGCCAUGUGGAACUGGGGAACUUUCACUGGUAUAGAACUAACUGGGCACAUAAUGGGUAUCUGUAAAUGGACAAUUUGGGUGUGCUGAAAUCAAAUGACUGACCAAGGCCCAUAACUGUGAUCACAGGUAAAAUGUUUUUCUGCUUUGCCAAAAAUCCGAGUUUCCUUUGCUCUCUCUGUCAAGCUGAAAGAGCCCUCCCAGACCCAGGGGCCAGGUGGAGAGGCCACUCACACCCGCCCGGUGCCGGUCUACCUUGGAUGGCCUCACCAGGGCACGGUUCCCGGGGUGGUGACUCAGCUCUGGAGGACCACCUGCUGCGUGGGGGUUGCUGCCUAGCAGGUCACUGCCAGUCACGAGGGCAGAGAGACCCAAAGGAUCAGAGAACAGCUCUGAGCAGGUCAAGGGCAGUGCCAGAAGGAAAGCCUUUGUUUACAGAGGGAAAGAUCCUGCACCUUGAAGUGAGGCAUUAAAGAGUAGAGGGGCUUUGCACCUGCAUCCUAAGCCUCUUGGUUCACCACUAAGCCGCAAAGCCACAGGGAGGAAACCACUGGGAAUACCAUCACAGAAAAUGAAGGUAGGGCCACGGGGCGCCUCCCACUCUCAAAGGGAAAAGACGGCCCUGGAUCAUCUUUCUAAAACAUCACUUUGAUGAAGUCGCCAUGGUUUUCUAAAGUAAUAAAUGGCAGCCACUACCUGCAAGAUAACAGAGUACAUUUGAAACCUUUCCACCACCUAAGUCCAACCCUCCUUCAGGGCAUUCGCUCUACUUCCUUAGAUAAAGCCUCUGCUGGGGUUAAGAUGUUCUGUCUCCGCUGCCCCCACUCUGCAGGCUUUCUCCUCCCGCUGACUGGUGCAGAGAAUGGGGGAGCCAUUAGGAGCCACAGACACUGAGCUAUUCCACAUGGAAUUCUUUUUAUUGUUUGAUCUAUUUCACAUGUACAAAGCUUUGACCUUCCAGUUCUAAGAAUUCCUACUUAGAACUGGUAGGUUCUAAGAACUCCUACUUAGAACUGGUAGGUUCUAAGAACCUCCCUGGACCGAUUCUGGCACAUGUCUCUUCUGAACUCACAGAGCUUGUGCCUUAACAAUUUAGAGUCAACUGACUUUGCUGUCCUCUCUAAUGUGUUAAGUUUCAGUCCGUGACAAACAUUGACAAGACGUGUACCUCAUCAGGCACUGUAAAGGGAAAGGACAUGACCCCUGCGGGAGAGGUCCACAGUCACACAGACGACAGAAAUGUGCCCGAUGCCUUCCAGUGUAUGUCACAACGCGUAUUUGACAAGGGAGAGCAGAGACUCUGCAGGUGAUGAGUUUUGCCUGCAGCGCCAAAGAAGUCUUCAUUGGGGAGCUCCAGGCUGGAUUUGAAAGGAAAAGCCGAAUUUUAAAGGAAGAACAGGUUAAACACCGAAGGAAAAUGGGGAGGAGUAAAUGUUUCAAGGAACACGUAUACCAAACAACAGAGUGCAUUCUCUCCAGCUCUGCAGCUCGGGGUUCCAGGGUCGGGGGUCCCACAAGGUGGGGAGGAGAAGCAGGCCUUAUCACGAAGGGCUUUGCAGGACAGGCCGAGUGUGUACGACGUUUGAGGUGGAAUGACAGGGCUACGCCCUGUGGAAGGGGCCGACUGUAGGACUGCUCGGAAUUGGGAGUUUGGCAGGAGAGAGGCACUUUCACAGACAUUAUCUGGUUUCAUCACCACCCCUUCUUGAGCCAUAUAUUUGGCGAUUAAUUGCGCACUUGUGACAUGUUCCUUUCUGCUGUCUGUUCCUUAAUGCCCCCUGCUUUUUUGUCUUGUCCCCAGCUGGGCUAUCUGUUCCUGGCGGCCACAGAACAAUACCUUCUUUAAUGGCUCCCACAGUGACCAGCACGUGCCUUAAACUCAGAGCAGGUCACUCAAACUCCUUUUAACUGAAAGUUUAGGAUGUGCUUUUGCCACACUCUCAAGUAAGUAAGUAAAUUCAUCAGCAAAUACCAAGUCCUAAAAUAAUGAAUGGUACUUAGGAAACACAUAAAGAGUGGUAGAAAACUAGAUGGGCUGGGGUCAUCCUGUGGAGGCCCUGGACGGCCCGGCUAAAGCAUUUGGAACUCCUCUGUAGAAGUGUUUUGAUAAAGAAAUGAUGUGAUUGAAGCUAUGCUUAAUAGAAGAUGAAUUUGGCAGUAGGAUGGGCUGGAGGGAGACAGUCGCUGUGGUGGUAGAAAGAAGAGGUGAAAAAGUGUUGCCAAGCCAGGUGAGAGCGUUUGCCACCAUCUGCACUAGCACGCAGCGCCGUUCCUCUAGGGCCCCUUGAGCUUAAGGUAGUUCUUUUCUCACAUCCGUCACACUUAGGAAGAUCACAUGGUGAUGCUGGCUUUUAUUCUCCCUCCCUUUCUUCCUUCUAAUAAUUAGCAAGCAACAGUUAUCUGCCAGACACUGUGCUAUUACACAAGGGAGAGAGAGAUGAAAGGCAGUCUCUACUCUGAUGCCUUGUGGGAGAGGAAGAAAAGUAUCUGGUUAAAACGCAGCAUGUUGAAUUCUCUGAUAUGCCCUCCCUCCCUCUCUCUCCCCCUGCUGGCCAGUCUGUCUUCCAUUUCUUUCUUUUUCUUCCAAAAAAAGGAUCUGAGGCAUAAUGAAGGAAGUCAGCUAGGAAUGGGGAAGAAGGAAGCUAAUCUAAUGCGAGGAAUCCCUGGAGGAGGUGGCACCUGAGAUGACUUUCAGGUGAGCAGGUAUCAGCCAGACGAAACCAGGAGGAAGGGAGAAGAGCCGUGCGCAGACACAGGCUGGGGCAGAGGAGUGGGCUUAGUGGCCUCCUGAGACAUGAGCUGGAACCUGGAAAAUGAGGAGCCAUGAAAGAGCUUUAAUGAGAGAAAGACAAUGACAUCUACGCUUUAGAAGGAUCGGUCUGGAGACAGCAGAAGGGCUUAUCGGAAGGUAGUGACUCUGUAGUCAAAGAGAUAGCAAAGUACAGAUUUGAGAGAUGCCACAACAGACGCAUUAAGCCCUGGAGCUGGAAUGAUAUGCACACUGAGAGAGUGAGGGAGUGAGGUCCUUGCUGAAGACCUUUAAAAUGAGUUUAUUUCACCCAGAAGCUCCAGCAAGGGACACACUCACUGCCUUGUGCUGGCCACGAGGUGGCAGCCUCGCACAGCCAUUUUAGCAGAAAAUGCGUCCCAUCCUCACCGGCGCUCACCACCACGUGGGCAGAGCCACUAAAAAAAUUCCACCACGGGGACAGGAGCUCUCUGAGCUUGCCCCAUAAACACGCUUUUCUCCCACAGAAAGCCUCCACAGAAGCAAUGAAAAAGUCAGUUGAUUUGGGGAGAGAAGCAUAAAAGCUCGUGCUCUUCAGAGAGCUCUGGGCUGUUUCAGGGUGGCGGCCGAGCCCUCUGACAACUGCGAAGAGACUGAGACAAUACAGGCUGGGGAUGAAGCGGUUCAAUGAAGGGCAUUACCCCCAACGAGAACCAACUGGAGAACCAACUCGUGGAGCGCUCGGGCCCCAUGACUCAGUCUGACCCGACGCUGGCGAAUGCUGCUGAGGACCCUGAAAACCUGCAGGGACCCUGUCCCAGGCCAGCGACAGCCACCCCUCAGGGCCCCUGGUCUCUGUCAGGCAAUGCGGGUCAUCUGAGGGAGGCUGGGCCACAGAUUCCACGUGUAGCUGGGAGGGGUUGCUGCGUCUGGCGAGGCAAGGGCUGCUGUCUAAACUUCCAAGGGAAUGAUGUGGGCACCCCAGGAGGAAGGGAUGCCCUGACCCCACUGCAUAGUCGAGGGCAUGGAGAACCCAUCCGACUGUGGCCUUGUGGCCCAUCCCCAUUCUCUGACGGGCUCAUUGUGAUUUUCAGCCACUUGCUAUUUGCCUCUCAGAGGCAAAGCGGCUGCAAGAGGUAGGAGAAAGCAAGAGACUCCCUCACCUGGAAUAGAGCAUCCACCGCGAUCCCAGAAAAGACAAAUCCCGUUGCAGGCACUUCAAUCCACACAGCAGUCCUGGGAUGAGGGUCCUGUUACCAUCCCCAUUUCACAGAUGAGGAAACUGAGGCACAAAGCAUGAAGUAACUUGAACGUGCCCAGAGUCACACUGCUAGCAAGGAGCAGAGCUGGAGUUUAGGCCCAGGUGGCCUGACCUCAGAGCUUGUGCGCUACCUGCUGCCUGGUACAGUCCACAGAGAGGGGGCCAGUGCCCGGCCCAGAACCACAUGCCCUGGGGCUGGAGACAGGUCAGGGCAGCCGAAAGGUGGAGCGCCCUCUCCAGCACUUCUUCCUCACCCCCUGCGGCUUUCUCCUGUGCUCCGACUGCCACCACUUGCUUGGGCAGCCAAGCAUGACAAACUGGCCAGCCACCGAGCAGGACUUUUCAGAGGAGGAGUAAAAACCCUUGUAUGAAUGUACACUCUUCUUGUCACACACAAACGCCCUUCCUUCCACCUUCAAAGGUGAUUCUGAGACUGCCCGUUUUUAUCUUUGCUUCAGUUGUGCUUGAUUUACAGCCUCCUGAGGUUUUUUGUUUUGUUUUGUUUUUUGUCUCUGUCACCCAGGCUAGACUGCAGGGGCGCGAUCUCAGCUCACUGCAACCUCUGCCUCCCGGGUUCAAGUGAUUCUCCUGCCUCAGCCUCAGCCUCCCAAGUAGCUGGGAUUACAGGCACCCGCCACCACACCUGGCUAACUUUUUUUGUAUUUUCAGUAGAGACAGAGUUUCACCAUGUUGGCCAGGCUGGUCUCGAACUCUUGACCUCAAGUGAUCUGCCCGCCUAGGCCUCCCAAAGUGCUGGGACUACAGGCAUGAGCCACGCGCCCGGCUUCCUGAUGUUUUUAACUAACAUUGCUAGUGGUUUAAGUUGGGCACCGACAAGUAUUAGAAUGUAAUUGCAGAGGUCACGUUGUUUGAACACCGGAACUUCAAGGCGUGCUUGAACCACCUGAUCAAAGGAGAAGGGACUGAGGACCAACAGGAGUGGGGCUAAAGGCAUCCUUCUGCUCCAGUUUCCUGUGAACCCGCUCCUCUGAGGAAAGGAGUAGUCCCCACGGAAGACACAGGAUCCUUCUGGGGGUCCUCCUUGGCCACGUCACACUUCCAGACUGUGUGGCGGGACACUGACCACCAAGCCCACAGACGUGGGUUUUAAAGCUACGCCUUCAAAUCAGCAACUCCCUUUCCUCAUGAAUAUUUUAGUGUGUAAUAUAGAAGAUGUUUUUACACUGAAUUAAAGCACCUGCCACUGAAUCUUCCUGCUGGAAUUAUGGGGGGUGGGAGGAGAUGGAAAAAAAAUCAAUGUUUCAAAGCAGUCCUGAUGUGCUAAAAAUAUCUCUCACUUCUCCUUUCAUCUGUCUGGUCAUUGUCCCAGACGCAAGCUCAGCACAGCCUCGCCCAUACAACAUGUCGAAUCGCUGUCUACCUCCACUUCUUAAUCGGACAAAGAGAGAAUAUUCUUUUUUUUUUUCCUUCCUCAGACAUUAGUCCAAGAUUACAGACUAGGAUAUAGCAACCUAUUAUUCAAGAACAGCUUUUAAAGGUAGCUGCUUCAGACUGGCACUUCGGGAAAACUUUGAAAGUAGACUUCUUUUUUUAAUGCUUAUUUUAACUAUAGAUUGGUGAUAACGAUUCAACCCCAGAGAUCCAGCUAACUGUUGGCACAGAAAUCCUUAACGCUACUCUCAAGCAAAUAAGAUCUUUUAAGGGGAAACUCCUGCAAAAUAUACCUUGUGAACAAGCUGCUCGCACCUCCUCUUGCAGCUGCAAAGAUAUUCUACUCUAUUGCUUAACUCGUGACCUUGAAAAAACUCCACCUUUCCUGCCAGCAGCUCCACUGCAUCCACCUGUCCCUACAGGUAGUAAAAGAUUAGACAAAACAGAACCACGUUUACACAACACACUUCCGAGCCUCUCUUCCUUCUAGGCCCUGUCCCACCCCCACUCCAAGGUCGAAGUUCAUUUCUUGCAGGCUUCACUUUUCAGGAUUAACCAACACUGUGCUUUUUCAUUCUGCUCAACACCAGUCCUUUGGCCUCACAGUGCUCGCCUGUGUGGAACACACUGCAGCCACCAGGUCAUCUGCUUUAGACCCAGCUCCAUGUCAAGUCCUGUUAUGGUCCCUCGGGCAUAUUGUCAUGCUCCUGGGCACCUGAAAACUGACAACUGGUUUCAAAUUUCUUACAAUUUGCUUUUCUGGUCUAUCCUUAUUUAUUCCCCUCACAGUGACAUUCACAGGAAGAGGAAGUGGCAGGCAGUCUCUUGGGGACGGGUCUCUCCUGAAUACCUGGGGGGAUGCCCUGGGCUGGGGAACCUCACAGGGGCUCAUCAAGAGGUUCCAGGAGACAGAGUUCGAGACCAGCCUGGCCAACAUGGUAAAACCCCGUCUCUACUAAAAAUGUAAUAAUCAGCGAGGCAUGGUGGCUUGCACCUAUAAUCUCAGCUACUUGGGAAACUGUGGCAGGAGAAUUGCUUGAACCCGGGAGGCAGAGGUUGCAGUGAGUCGAGAUCGUGCUACUGCACUCCAGCCUGGGCAACAGAGCUCUCAAAAAAAAAAAAAAAAAAAGACAUUCCAGAAGACUUCUGAAGUGGAAGUAGCCACCACACAGCUGCACCUGCCACCUCCUUCCCCACUCCAGGGCCUUUGAAAUGUGCUGCUCUCUCUAUGCCGAGAGCUCUCACCCCUACCCCCUGCACCCACACAUUCCUGCUCAUCUCUUAGCUGAGACCUUGGAAAUCACCUCCUCAGGGGACCACUGGGAAGAAGGUCCUUUUCAUCUGAGUGCCUUCCCCUCAGGGAUGAUUUUUCUUGGGCCAUUUUUUUUGGUAUGUGUUUACUUAGGUUCCAUGAUGACAGAGACCAUGCCUGUGUUUUCAUCACUAUCGUCUUCACCUCACUGCCAACCAGUGCCUGGCACACAGUAGGUGUUCAAGAAAGGUUUGCUGAAUAAAUGGAUGAACAAUGACAUCAGCCUACUUUGACCUCUUGAGUUCCUCUGAUCUCUGAAUGUUCUGGAGCAAGGACCUUUAACAGCAUCUCCAUCUCUUCCUGGCCUUGCCGCCCCACCCAGUAAAACCAUAAUACUUGCUGGUAUAGCCUCUUCCUGCAAAUAAAAGUACAAAAGGAGUUCAGAACGGACACUCCAAACAAAGGGAUUUAUGACCUUGGUCUCAUGUUCUCUUGUGGUGGUAAAAUUCACUUUUCUAUGAAAUUAAAAAUUCCUCCCUUGAACAACAUUGCCAGAGGUCCCCAGAACAAGGCAAAACUGGGUAUUCAAAACUUUUUAAGUUUAGGAAACGCUGCCUGGAAUCUCUAUUUCUCCCUCCUCUGGUUGCAUUCUAUUCCUCAGGUUAUGUGCUUAUGAAAUUCGUAUCUAGCUCUGUGCCCAAAGAUGCUUCCAGCUCGCUUGCUUCCCCUGCUCCCUGCUCCCCGCAGGCCUGCGGAGAGCACCGCCCCAGUCUGCUAUUAAGAUCUGCUCAACUGUUUAAUUGCACAGCCCGUCCCAGCAGCAACCUCUCCACAGCCUCUCACUUGCCAACCAACUGGCCGCCCACUCACAUUCUCUUGCUGGCUUGCUCACUGCCCAAACACACACCCCUCCCCCCAGUUCAUCUCUUACCCACUAACACAACGAAGAUCCGACUUAUCCAAUUUGCUGACGUACUUUACCUGAAGCCCCACCCACCCCCCUCCACUUUUCCAGAGUUCUACCCACAAGAAAAGGAAAGCAGCCGGCCCGGUCUAAAUACAAAAGAUUUACUGUCAACACCUUGAAACUUGGAAAGGGUCCAUUACAUGCCAGCAUCAGACUUUUGGUGGAGAAGCGCGGUGGUGGGGAGGGUAGGAAGAUGCUAAGAAGAAAAGACGAAGGGGAAGAGGGAGAUGAAAAUCCAUCAGUCCUCCCUCUGAGUCUAGUUGGCCAGGACAAGGACGACACAGGACUUUUGUGAAAGAUUCUGGAAAUAUUUCAGAGAGUUGCCUUGAGAAUAUCCACAUGGCGGUACAUAGGGCAUAAAAUCUGGGUUCGAAGACCUGAGCCUGAGUCCUGGCUUUCCACCUGCUAACCACAUCCCUGCCAUCAGGGCAGGCUGAUGUUUCCUGGUCAGUACAACAGGGAUGCAGAAAUCUAUUUUGCAGAGUUGCCGGGAGGAUCAAAUGAAGUUACGUGUGUGAAAGCAUCUUGUAAACUGUAAACACUAGACAUGGUAUACAUUAGUUUUUGGUGUUACCCAGUAGGUCAUUUCUCUCUCUCAAACAUUUAUUCUCUAUCAUGUGUCCGGGUGUUUAUCCAAAAGUAAACACUACGUAAUCAUGGCAUCAUGGUUUUGUUUUAUUUUGAGAUGGAGUCUCACUCUGUUGCCCAGGUUGGAGUGCAGUGGCGCAAUCUCUGCUCACUGCAACCUCCGCCUCCCGGGUUCAAGCAAUUCUCCUGCCCCAGCCUCCCGAGUAGCUGGGACUACAGGCGUGUGCCACCACACCCAGCUAAUUUUAGUAUUUUUAGUAGAUGGGGUUUCACCACGUUAGCCAGGAUGGUCUCGAUCUGACCUUGUGAUCCACUUGCCUUGGCCUCCCAAAGUGCUGAGAUUACAGGCGUGAGCCACGGCGCCCGGCCCUAAUCAUGGCUUUUAAGGGGUCAAUGCAAGCCAGGGAAGAUGGACAAAAAGAGGAAUUACAGAACACAGUAUGACACAUGUACAACUGGGUAAGCAGAAAGGGCUGUGGAAGCACCCAAGGGGCACCUAGCCCAGCCCUUAGGAGUCAGCAGAGGCUGCCUGGUGGAGGUUUCAUCUGAACAGGUGCUCUGAAGGGACAGUAGCCAUUGGCCAGGAAGAGGGAAGGAAGAGCUUCCAGGCAGAGGACAAGCAUGAUGGGCUUCAUUUGGCUGCACCAGAGAUCAACAAACAAUGGUAAGGAUGGGGGGAGUCCUGAGAGGUAAGACCAGAUCAUGAAGGGUGUCUUGAGCCCUGUCAAGACAUUAUGAGGUCAACCAAGCAACAAUAACAUCACAAGACAACAGGUUUCUUUCUGGGUCCUGACAGUGUAUGUAAGUUAUGCGGCUUGAACUUACUGGACGGCAUUAAUGAGCUUCUGUUCAUGUCUAAUAAGGAAAAAAGAGGGUUCUAUCAUGGGUUAUGCCACAUUUGUUUUUCUUGGUAGUUGGGACAGUUGCUUUGUUAAUUGCCUUUUUUGAACAUACUCUCCUAUACCCACAGCACAUUUGCUGGAGUCAUGGGGGUGGGGUGUGAUAAUCUGCACUAUUCAUGAGCUGUGGCCAGGUGAUCCAGCACAAAGAUGCCCAGCUGUGGGGAAUACAUUCAUUCUUCCCUAACACAUUAAAACCACAACCAAGGAAAGCUGGCUGAAUAAAACUGAGUGGCCCCAAGGAUACAAACACCUCCAACACGAGUCAUUUAUUUAUGAAAAGUGAAUAGGAUACAAAUUAAAAGCUUGGGCGCAGGAGCCAGACUGCUGUGACUUGAAUCCUGGCUCCUCCAUUUCCAACUUCCCCCAGCCUCAGUUGUCUAUCUGUAAAAUGGGUCUCAUAGUAGGAUCUGCCACACAGGAUUGUGUAUUAAAAGAGAUAAUCAAUAUCGAGUAUUUGGCACAGUGCCUGGCACAUGGGGCUCCCAACACAUGGUGUUGGUGGUGUUCCUAUUUGUUGUUUUUCUCUUGUAGCAAUGCUGAAUCCAGUCUGCUCCCACUUAUAGUUUACAUGAUGGAAGAAUUAGAGACUUGAACACAGAAAUGAAUUAUCCCUGUUAACCCUAACCCCAGAACACUGAGGCCACAGGAAAUACAACCGCAGUGACCUGGACUUCUGCGUUAGUCAUGAUCAGUACGUAUUAGGUCACAGCUAGUCUACGCUUUAUCACAUGGUGGUGACAUUCCAGUUUCAUAUGAGAGGGCUCUCAGUUAAGUAAGUGCACUAAAAAUGCAUACUGGAAAACACCCGUGAUCUAUCUAAAACAUUGUUCCAGUGCCCUCGUUUUUUUGUUUUGCUUUUUUUUUUAAAUCCCAGAGAGCAAUACCAUAGAAUAUUUCAUUAGACCUUUUUAUUCAAGAUCCAUCUUAAAAAGUUGAGGCUGUACCUCAAAUAUCUUUUAUUUUCCUUGCUGACUUGUUACAUGACCCCCACUGGCCUGUGAAUAUAUCCAAAGAUUUUUCUGUGUUUUAAUCUGAACUCACUUUGAAGCUAUUUAUAUGUUUGGCAUGGUAACACAAUGGAGGUAAUAAACACCAUGCAGGUCUGACUCAGCUUUGAAAGCAGCUUUCUGAGUGACACCUUCCUCAGGAUUCCCUGAGCUAACUUUAUGGGAUCUGGUAAGUAACUUCAUAUUCACUCCAUAGCACUUACGAUCUCCCAAUCAUUUCCUGCAGAUCUAGCCUGGAAGCUAAAUUUUAAAACUAGCUGUGAAUUUGGAAGAUGAUUCAUAAGCUCUGUGCAUACCAUGGUUAUGACUGGUGGAAGGCAGAGAUUCUUACAUCAGUCUUCUUUACACUUUAACAGCAAGGAAAAUAACAGGUUAGAGGAGUACUUUGUAUCUACCCUCCCUUGCUUCCGGCAAAUUAAUGAAAGCCAAAUAAAUUGCAACACUUUGAUAUCUGUGUCUCUGUAACGUUAAAGACAGCCCUGGGCUGCGAGAGAUGAACGUGGUAGAGCACCUCCGGGCCAGCUUCCCAGUGGAGCAAUGGUAUUGGAGAGGUGGACAACGUGGGGAGGCUGAGGGAGCUAGAUCUUCGAAGGCAGAGAACAACACGGUGUGUCAGGCAAGCAACAAGCUCUUUUUGCAGCAUAAAAGCAAGAGGGGAGAGUGGCAGGGGAAAAACUCAGGUUAUUUAUUUAUUUUUUUUCUGAAAACCACUUGCUGAAAUAGAAUGCCUCUUCUGAAUACUGAUGUCAUUAGACUAUCAAUUUAGGUUAUAUUAAAUUUUUUCAGGAUAGCUAUCCUUAAAUUUCAAAGCAUUUAUUGGCCAGGUUUCUAAAGUGUGAUAGCAUCAUUCACCAGGAAGCAGGGAAUUUAGAAUCGAGGUGACACCGGACCACAGAGUGAGUCUCUGGGGUAGAGGCAGGAAUAUGCUCAGUAAGGUAGCUGGUCAGCCGUAAGGCUGCCCAGGAGUGAGGCUUCCUCUGCAGGGUCUCACGGGUGCCUUCUCAUGCCUUUUACUGGAGCCAUAUCUAAUGACUUUAAAAGGUUAACCCUGGAUCUGUUCUGGUGAACUUCAUCCAUGUUUGUAACAUCCUAGAAAGUAUUUAUUCUGAGAAGCUGAAAAACAAAAAAAGAUCUUCCCAGAUUUCUGAAAAUGGGGUGGAUACUGACCUACAUUCAGUGUUCUAGAUUAAAAUCACAGAUUUUGGAUAGAGAAAGUAUUCUCUGUAAUCUAAUAAAACCAACUUUUUUUUUUUUUUGAGACAGAGUCUCACUCAUGGCCCAGUCUAGAGUGCAGUGGCACGAUCUCGGCUCACUGCAACCUCUGCCUGUCGGGUUCAAGCGAUUGUCCUGCCUCCUGCCCCAGCCUCCCAAGUAGCGGGGAUUACAGGCAUGUGCCAUGACGCCCAGCUAGUUUUUUGUAUUUUUAGUAGAGAGGGGGGGUCUUGCCAUGUUGCCCAGGCUGGUCUUGAACUUCUGACCUCAGGUGAUCAGGCCAUCUUGGCCUCCCAAAGUGUUGGGAUUACAGGCGUGAGCCACCACACCUGGCCAAAACCAACAUAUUUUAUGGAUAGGAAAUUGAGGCUUACAUGGGGGGGAAGAAAAACAUUACACAGAUUAAACCACAGCUAAUGUCAGGUGGUGACCAAAGCAAGUCUUUUAUUGCAGGCUGGGUUUUUCCAUGUGGCUGGUUGUAUGCUGCACCAAGAGGCAGACACAGUAGGCCAGUUUCCUGUGCAGACCCAGCUGCAAUCCCAUCUCUAAGCCAGGAUGCUAUUAGGUCUCAACAACCCAUGGGAAUUUAGGGUGCUCAUGAUUUAGGCUGGAAAGAGGUGACUAAGCUCCUUGAUCUAAGGUCUAUGCAACUGGCCACUCACUGUGGACCAGGGACAUUCAAUGCCAGACAGCGGUAGGGCUGGUCUGGGGCGGCAAGCCAGAUCCUGGGCAAAGCAGCCUUUCUGCUAAGGGUUCCCUGGCAGACCACGACGAUGACCUCUUGCAAAUGUGACCUGACGGUGGCAAAAGUCUUCUUUCAAAGCCCAUUCCUAGGGCCUGCUCUUUCCCCAGCACUGUCCCCCAGGAAGCCCCCUUGCUAGCCAUAUUCAUAAAGUUAAACGACUAAAACAUGUUUUGGAAAGUAGUUUCUCUUGGUAUUUUGUGUGUUGUUUACUCUCUUACUGUACUAACAAUAUAAAUUGUUAAAGGCUUCCUGGAAAUCAAAACUGCAAAUUAGAGAAAAAUAGGGUUAGAGAAAAUGUCUUUGAUAGUCCACUUUGAAAUUCAAAUAAUGAUUUGAGAAGUUUAAGAAUUAUUACGUGAAUAGAUGAUAAAGUGACAGAAUAUUAAUUAUAGAAUCUAGCCAGUGUAUUUUUCAUAAUAAAAUAUUGGAAAAAAGUAUUACCGCAUCUUCUGUGCAUACCAAUAUCCAACAAGUUCAUGGGCUCCUACCGCUGGAUAUAAUAGCAAAAAGUCUUGAAAUAUAAAAUAAAGGAAGCACCACAAAUUAAAUAGGGAAAGAUACAUGACUCAAAACAUGAUGGGGGAUUUACUCUGUGAAACAAAGUCCAUUUGGAUCUUUGUUUCACACUUUUUUUUUUUUUUUUUUU
Molecule: long non-coding RNA, 12876 nt
Organism: Pan troglodytes (chimpanzee)
Lineage: Eukaryota; Metazoa; Chordata; Mammalia; Primates; Hominidae
Exons: 5
Source: RefSeq, a predicted model, not a curated record